This 1920-nucleotide ribosomal RNA is filed under the name Salmonella enterica subsp. enterica serovar Typhi. Its description in RNAcentral is "bacterial LSU rRNA". It matches the Rfam family "Bacterial large subunit ribosomal RNA", at positions 911 to 2812 of the family's 2925-position model. Lineage: Bacteria; Pseudomonadati; Pseudomonadota; Gammaproteobacteria; Enterobacterales; Enterobacteriaceae. The record is from RNAcentral.
UGUUUCGGCUAGGGGGCCAUCCCGGCUUACCAACCCGAUGCAAACUGCGAAUACCGGAGAAUGUUAUCACGGGAGACACACGGCGGGUGCUAAUGUCCGUCGUGAAGAGGGAAACAACCCAGACCGCCAGCUAAGGUCCCAAAGUCAUGGUUAAGUGGGAAACGAUGUGGGAAGGCCCAGACAGCCAGGAUGUUGGCUUAGAAGCAGCCAUCAUUUAAAGAAAGCGUAAUAGCUCACUGGUCGAGUCGGCCUGCGCGGAAGAUGUAACGGGGCUAAACCAUGCACCGAAGCUGCGGCAGCGACACCGUGUGUUGUUGGGUAGGGGAGCGUUCUGUAAGCCUGUGAAGGUGUGCUGUGAGGCAUGCUGGAGGUAUCAGAAGUGCGAAUGCUGACAUAAGUAACGAUAAAGCGGGUGAAAAGCCCGCUCGCCGGAAGACCAAGGGUUCCUGUCCAACGUUAAUCGGGGCAGGGUGAGUCGACCCCUAAGGCGAGGCCGAAAGGCGUAGUCGAUGGGAAACGGGUUAAUAUUCCCGUACUUGGUGUUACUGCGAAGGGGGGACGGAGAAGGCUAUGUUGGCCGGGCGACGGUUGUCCCGGUUUAAGCGUGUAGGUAUGUGUUCCAGGUAAAUCCGGUUCACUUUAACACUGAGGCGUGACGACGAGGCACUACGGUGCUGAAGCAACAAAUGCCCUGCUUCCAGGAAAAGCCUCUAAGCAUCAGGUAACAUCAAAUCGUACCCCAAACCGACACAGGUGGUCAGGUAGAGAAUACCAAGGCGCUUGAGAGAACUCGGGUGAAGGAACUAGGCAAAAUGGUGCCGUAACUUCGGGAGAAGGCACGCUGACACGUAGGUGAAGUGAUUUACUCACGGAGCUGAAGUCAGCCGAAGAUACCAGCUGGCUGCAACUGUUUAUUAAAAACACAGCACUGUGCAAACACGAAAGUGGACGUAUACGGUGUGACGCCUGCCCGGUGCCGGAAGGUUAAUUGAUGGGGUCAGCGCAAGCGAAGCUCCUGAUCGAAGCCCCGGUAAACGGCGGCCGUAACUAUAACGGUCCUAAGGUAGCGAAAUUCCUUGUCGGGUAAGUUCCGACCUGCACGAAUGGCGUAAUGAUGGCCAGGCUGUCUCCACCCGAGACUCAGUGAAAUUGAACUCGCUGUGAAGAUGCAGUGUACCCGCGGCAAGACGGAAAGACCCCGUGAACCUUUACUAUAGCUUGACACUGAACAUUGAGCCUUGAUGUGUAGGAUAGGUGGGAGGCUUUGAAGUGUGGACGCCAGUCUGCAUGGAGCCGACCUUGAAAUACCACCCUUUAAUGUUUGAUGUUCUAACGUGGACCCGUGAUCCGGGUUGCGGACAGUGUCUGGUGGGUAGUUUGACUGGGGCGGUCUCCUCCUAAAGAGUAACGGAGGAGCACGAAGGUUGGCUAAUCCUGGUCGGACAUCAGGAGGUUAGUGCAAUGGCAUAAGCCAGCUUGACUGCGAGCGUGACGGCGCGAGCAGGUGCGAAAGCAGGUCAUAGUGAUCCGGUGGUUCUGAAUGGAAGGGCCAUCGCUCAACGGAUAAAAGGUACUCCGGGGAUAACAGGCUGAUACCGCCCAAGAGUUCAUAUCGACGGCGGUGUUUGGCACCUCGAUGUCGGCUCAUCACAUCCUGGGGCUGAAGUAGGUCCCAAGGGUAUGGCUGUUCGCCAUUUAAAGUGGUACGCGAGCUGGGUUUAGAACGUCGUGAGACAGUUCGGUCCCUAUCUGCCGUGGGCGCUGGAGAACUGAGGGGGGCUGCUCCUAGUACGAGAGGACCGGAGUGGACGCAUCACUGGUGUUCGGGUUGUCAUGCCAAUGGCACUGCCCGGUAGCUAAAUGCGGAAGAGAUAAGUGCUGAAAGCAUCUAAGCACGAAACUUGCCCCGAGAUGAGUUCU